RNAcentral lists this ribosomal RNA (620 nucleotides) under Lactobacillus gasseri. RNAcentral's name for it is "bacterial SSU rRNA". It matches the Rfam family "Bacterial small subunit ribosomal RNA", at positions 374 to 985 of the family's 1533-position model. Lineage: Bacteria; Bacillati; Bacillota; Bacilli; Lactobacillales; Lactobacillaceae. The record is from RNAcentral.
GACGCAAGUCUGAUGGAGCAACGCCGCGUGAGUGAAGAAGGGUUUCGGCUCGUAAAGCUCUGUUGGUAGUGAAGAAAGAUAGAGGUAGCAACUGGCCUUUAUUUGACGGUAAUUACUUAGAAAGUCACGGCUAACUACGUGCCAGCAGCCGCGGUAAUACGUAGGUGGCAAGCGUUGUCCGGAUUUAUUGGGCGUAAAGCGAGUGCAGGCGGUUCAAUAAGUCUGAUGUGAAAGCCUUCGGCUCAACCGGAGAAUUGCAUCAGAAACUGUUGAACUUGAGUGCAGAAGAGGAGAGUGGAACUCCAUGUGUAGCGGUGGAAUGCGUAGAUAUAUGGAAGAACACCAGUGGCGAAGGCGGCUCUCUGGUCUGCAACUGACGCUGAGGCUCGAAAGCAUGGGUAGCGAACAGGAUUAGAUACCCUGGUAGUCCAUGCCGUAAACGAUGAGUGCUAAGUGUUGGGAGGUUUCCGCCUCUCAGUGCUGCAGCUAACGCAUUAAGCACUCCGCCUGGGGAGUACGACCGCAAGGUUGAAACUCAAAGGAAUUGACGGGGGCCCGCACAAGCGGUGGAGCAUGUGGUUUAAUUCGAAGCAACGCGAAGAACCUUACCAGGUCUUGAC